CCUUCAAUUUUUGAGAGGCACGAGCGACUGCUGCGAUUGCAUUACUGUCCAUUAAUCGGCGAUUCAAAUCAACCAGCUUCCGUUUCAAUUCUCCAACGGAACGAACAAGAUGUUCAACUGCGUUUUGGAAGAGUGUUUUCAGAGACUGGUAAGAGUUACUGACGAACCAUAAAAGGCAGAUGCACCAUAAGAAGAGUAGGAUCAUUCCGAAAGGUGAAAGCAGGACAAGCAACUCCAAAUUCAGUGACAGACUUCCAAGAAAGAGGCUAAGUUUGUUCAUCGGAUCUUCCAAAUCUGCGUUAUCGCGUCGACUUGCUUGGAUUGUCAUUAGAAUCAAAGAGAGGAUGUAAAUGCAUGUCACAAUAAUGAAUACGUUCAUCAGCUGAGAGCCGUAGAUCGUCGCAUAUGGAGACACAUUGGGGAACUUGAGUUGCAAGCAGAAUCCCAAGACGCCGAUGAGAGAAAUUAUGCAUGUAUGCAAUUUCACUGCAGAGUAUUCUUUAGUUUGAAUCAACCCUUGUGAAGGUGAAGAGAUAACCACAGUGGUGUCUGCCAUUCCACAGCUUUUCAUAGCAUAAUUAAACUUUGGCCUUAAUUUAAACUUCGAGAGUGUAAACUGAAAGUUUGGCGCAAUGGCGACGUACGCGAUGAGAACAAAGCUAUACAUGACAAAGCGCACUGUUUGCCAAAGGAGGGACUGCCCUGUAUUGGUAUAUGCUUCCUAUAUUUCUACUGGCAUCUUGCCAAAGGAGUAACUGCCCUGUAAUGAAGGGACUGCCCUGUAUUGAAUUUUUUUUGUUUUUCUACUGGGAUACCAGAUUCCUUCUUUUUUGUUUCACCACUAACCUCCACAUUGAACCAGAGAUCGUUUCUGAGACCCACAUAGACUAAAUAUUUAAACUAUUUCGCAUCUGUGUCUUCAUUUGGCUACCGUAUUUCUUUGGUAUAAUUCUGAUUAGCCAUGGUAAAGAUUCUCACGUUUGUUUUCUCUUGGUCUUUAGAUCUGUGUUUACGACGAAGAGAACGUGUUUGUUUAUGGCCUAACUCUAUUUGCAUACAGAGCAUUCAGCAUUGAACAACAUGUGCCAUUAUGAAUGUUUGCGAGGCGUACAUUAUUACUAAUAUAGAGGGUGAAAUGUUAUUCUGUCUUAACUGCAGAAUGAUAUAUUCUUCUUGAUACAAGACACACAAUAUUCUGCCCUUAUGAUGAUUUACAUGCAUAGUUAAUCAGUACGAAUCUAAAGCUCAAGCCUACUUGCAAUUUCCAGGAAGAAACAGUUGUUUAUCAUAUUGUCGAGGAAAACAAUAAGAGUAAAUGACACUUUAGUACUAAUUUUAAAGGUUUAUUGCCCAUUCCAAUGAAAAUCUCUUUACCAACUCCAUUCCAAUGAAUUCUAAUAAAAGGACGUCAAUACUCUCACCCUAAUUUAACUCUCUUUCUCCUCUUUUUUCCUGAUCAUUAACUCUCUCUCUCUCUCUCUCUCUCUCUCUCUCUCUCUCUCUCUCUCUCNCUCUCUCUCUCUCUCUCNCUCUCUCUCNCUNUCUCUUCUCUCUCUCUCUCUCUCUCUCUCUCUCUCUCUCUCUCUCUCUCUCUCUCUCUCUCUCUCUCGGAAUCCAGAUCGGAUCUGAGGACCGGACUCACCCCACAUGCGGCGUUCGUCAACCUCGGUGGCGAUCGGACAUGGACGUCGGAAGCAGCUCAUUCAUGGAGGAGUUGGUCUUGUUUACUGUGUUGUUGUUCUCCGGCCUGAGCAGUUGCUCGGCCGAUACGAGCUCGGCACCAAGCACAUUGACCCACUCGUAGUUGCGGGUGUUGCCACGCCAGGCGACGUAGAUUUCGCGGUGGCCGAUGGACUUGCUGUACUGGUCAGUGGUGACGACGACGUAGCCGAUCCAGUUAGACUCGCGGUCCCACGACUCGUGGGACAUGGAGUGGAGGAGGAAGGCCUCUGGGACGCUGACUUGUGCGGUGGUGUAGAGGAAAAAGGCGAUCUCGUAGUUGGCGGCGUCUUGGAGCAUGACUUUGUCGAAGAAGUUGGCGUGGCCGUAGCGGCUGGACCCGGCGUACUUGGAGUUGGCGUCGUUGUUGAAGGCGUCGUAGGUGCCCUGGCAGAAGUCGCCGCAGCGGAGGAUCAGGGUUCGGAGGUGGACGUCCAGCGGGUCCAGGAGGCCGGCCCAGUUGUUUUCUCCGAGGAGAGCUGACCAUGCUAGACCUGCUACUGGUUCAGUAGUGGAAUCAGGGGUCUGGGUCUGGGUGGUGGUAUGAGUAUCCAUGGCUGGUUUUAGUUCAGAGAGUGAAAGUUGGUUUUGGUAGUAAACUUCAUUUUUUCGCAUCUACGUUGAUUUUUCUCUUUUUCAAUGUGAAUUAUGGCAUUGAAGCUACUGUUUUGUAAGUUUACUACCCCCAGUAAAAGUUUAGUAGGGGUAGUAAACUUUAGUUUUUACGAAUCUAAAUUGGUUCUUCCUCUGUUUUAGUGUGUAUUAUGGUCUUGAAAAUACUGUUUUGCAAGUUUACUACCCCCAGUAAAAGUUUACUAGGGGUAGUAAAUUUUAUUUUUUCGCAUCUAAGUUGAUUUUUCUCCGUUUUAAUGUGUACUUAUAGCCUUGGAGAUAUUAUUUUGCAAGUUUACUACCCCCAGUAAAAGUUUACUAGGGGUAGUAAACUUCAUUUUUUCGCAUCUAAGUUGAUUUUCUCCUUUUCAAUAUGAAUUAUGACAUUGGAGCUACUGUUUUAUAAGUUUACUACCUCCAGUAAAAGUUUACUAGGGGUAGUAAACUUUAGUUUUUCGAAUCUAAAUUGUUCUUUCUCUGUUUUAGUGUGUAUUAUGGUCUUGAAAAUACUGUUUUGCAAGUUUACUACCCCCAGUAAAAGUUUACUAGGGGUAGUAAAUUUUAUUUUUUCGCUUCUAAGUUGAUUUUUCUCCGUUUUAAUGUGUACUUGUAGCUUUGGAGAUAUUAUUUUGCAAGAUUACUACCCCCAGUAAGAUGUUUACUAGGGGUGGUAAACUUUAUUUUUUUGCAUAUAUGUUGAUUUUUUCUCUCUUUUAAGGUAUAUAAUGGUCAUAGGAAAAUUGUAUUGCAAGUUUACUACCCCCAGCAGAAGUUUAUUAGGGGUACUAAACUUUAUUUUUCUGCAUCUAAGUUGAUUUUUCAUUGUUUUAAGGUGUAUAACAGUCAUGGAGAAACUUUAUUUUGAGUUUACUACCCCCAGUAAAAAGUUUACUAGGGGUAGUAAACUUUACUAGUGUGUAUUAUGGUCUUGAAAAUACUGUUUUGUAAGUUUACUACCCCCAGUAAAAAGUUUACUAGGGGGUAUAAACUUUUUUUUUCGUACUUAGGUUAAGAUCACGUAAAUUCCGAUGACAUUUAAAAAAAUCCAGUGAGAUUCCGAAAAAUCCGGUCCACCGGAUGCCGGCAAUUUUCCGGCCGUCGGAAAAUUCAGGUCACCGGUGACCGGAAUCCAGCGGCCCGGAGUUUAGAGUCCGGCGACCGAAAUGCGGCUGCCGGUGACUGGCGUCGGAGCCCGGUGUGCUUCCGGCAAAGUCUUCCCUCCAUCUUUUUCACUUUUUCUCUUUAAGUAAAAGCUAAGGGUAAAAAAGUCUUUAAAAAUAUAAUUUUAUUAUAUUUUAAUAAAAAUUUGUGUAUUUGGGCUUAAAAUAAAUACCUUGUAUUUAAAUGGGCUAAGAAAAAAGAUUAUCAUUGAAAUAGGGUUUGACUUUUUCUAUUUUGUGCAAAUUGUCUUUUUCCCGAUCUUUAAUUAUGUAGUUUGGUGGUUUUUGAGGUCUAAACCCUAAAUGAUUGGCUCAUUGUAGGUUUCCAUGAAUAACACCUCUCUGUCAGAAGAAAAGGAACAAGUAGCAAAGAAGUGUAGAAAAACUAAAGACUACCAAGAAACUGUAUCCAGAGUGUUAAACAGCACGUGGCCCGUAAAUCACAUUAUAUUGAUACUGUCCCAACUUAACCACCUUUAAAGUGUUGGGUUUUAAUCACAAAAGGCCUCGGUAGAAUUGGAUAAGAUUCAUCCACUUAUAAGUUAUAUUUUAUUUGUCACUUUUCUGAUGUGGGAUCUAUUCCUCUCCAAUACUUCCAACACGCCCUCUCACAUGCAACCUGACUCAAGGUCUGCACGUGGAAUGAAUCAGGACGGAACUAACCAAGGGACACUCGGUGACAAUCCAAUCAGAACAUUCCGAUGGUAAGAUGAGAAGUCAGAACUGGGCUAGAGAAUAGAAUCCCGAACCAAACGAGAGAAUGAACCCAAAUCGGGUCCAUAAGAAUUGGAGAAGUAAUUGGAGAGGGACCCGCUCUGAUACCAUGUUAAACUGCGCGUGGCCCGUGGAUCACAUUGUACCGAUACUGUCCCAACUUAACCAUCUUUAAAAUGUUGGAUUUUAAUCACAAAAUGUAUCGGUACAAUUAGAUAAGAUCCAUCCACUUAUAAGUUAUAUUUUAUUUAUCACUUUUUUCUGAUGUGGGAUCUAUUCCUCUCCAAUACUUCCAACACAUAGCAAUGUAUCAAAUUUGAACUAAGAAUGACAUCCCAAGUCUAAAAAAGAAGAGGAAGGAAGAAACAAGGAAGAGAUUUACUAAGAGUUGUGAAUGUUGAGAGUUAACAGAAUGCCUCGAUAUAAUUGGAUAAGAUCCAUCCACUUAUAAGUUAUAUUUUAUUUGUCAUUUUUCUAAUAUGGGAUCUAUUCCUCUCUAAUACUUUCAAUACAUAUCAAGGUAUAAAAUUUGAAUUAAGAAUGACAUCCAAGUCUAAAAAAGAAGAGGAAGGAAGAAACAAGGAAGAGAUAUACUAACAGUUGUGGAUGUUGAGAGUUAACAGAAGUACAGUCCAUUGAUUUCACAGGCAGCUUUCUGCAGAGCUCUUCUUACUCUUGAACAAGACAAUGUUUAAUGUGUUGAAUGUUGAUGAUACCAUACAAGAUUAGAGAUUUAUAUAGCCCUAUAGGCUUUUCUGCUAAAAGUGAGGAUGAGUUUGAUGAAACAGAAUAGGGGCUCUUGUUUAAUAGGGGCGUUUGCAUUUGUGGGGGCUUUUGUUUGCGUUUGUAAUAUCAUCAAUUUUCUAUAGAAAUUCAACGUCUCUGAUAGCUAGUCAACACUUGUAUCCCCAGAAGCAAAUAUAUUGGCGUCACAUAAAAAUAGUCCGAAGUCCGAACAGCGAAAAGAAGUAUCGUAUGACAGAUUGGAGUCCAAGAGGAGUGUUAGCUUGGUAUGAAAGACAAACCUAGCUUGGUAUGAUAGACAAACAUUUAUCUAUUUAGCUUGGCUGAUAUAUAGUUAGAUUUGACUCCAAGGUUCAACUCCUCUCGGAGUCAAAUCUCUUUUUUAUGUAGAAGUUAAAAUGGACAAUCUGGGACCCUUUUCGUUUCGGUACUUCACACUUCGAUGUUAGUUUCUGUUAUUUUUCUGUGAGAAAAUGGAUAGAGUGGCUCUGUUUGAAUGAGCGUAAUUUCUAUUUCUAAUUUAAUUCUGGUAGGUUGAUGUUUCUGGAGGUCCAAGAACGGUUUGGCUCAUCGGAGGUUUAUCGAGGACAGAAGCAGAGGCCAUAUGGGGUAAUUGGGCGGCGAAUAUUUGUCAUCAUAGAUUCUAAAUAACCUCCUAAAAUGAACAUUUCCUGAAGAACACCUCGUGCAUGUAGUGUGUUUCUACUUUCUAGUUCAAAAGAAAAGGAAGAAGUAGCAAAGAAAUAUAUAUUGAAAAAUGAAAACUAAAGACUAAACAAGAAACUGCGUCCAGAGCAAGGUAUCAAAUUUGAACGAAGAAUGACAUUUCAGGUCUAAAAAGGAAGAAGAAGAAGAAGAACGAUUAAACAAGGAAGAGAAAAACCAAAGCAAAUACUCAAAUAGUAGCGAAAGUAGAUAUACUAACAGUUGUAAACGUUGAGAGUUAACAGAAAUGUCGUCCUCCAUUGAUUCCACAAGCAGCUUUCUGCAGAGCUUUUCUUACUCUUGAACGAAAGUAAGAGUAGGGUGCUUUUUAGAAAACAAGACUCGGGUGUAGAGUGUCGAAAUUUGAUCCCAUACACAGUGCUCAUAUAGGCUUUGUUGGGUUAAAUGUGAAUGAGGUUGAUAAAAUAUAAUAAACGUCCAAUUUCAAGCCUCAAGCAGUUUUUUUGUAUUCGACUUGCAACCAGUUCGGAAAUGCCCACACUGUCCUGUCGAUUUGGACGUUUCUGUUUUACCGAAACCAGAAAUUCAUGAUAAUUCCGUAAUUUGCUGUAUCCGAACAAUGAAGAGAAAUAUCCUAUUGUAGAAAAACUGUUUUUUUUUUUUUUUCCCGACAAUUGUAGAAGUUAAACUGUUGAUGUUUGGAUGAGUUCUUAAAGUCUUCUCAAGUUUCGAUUUGGAUAGCUUUCUUCGUUGCUGCAUUUAUUUUGGGUAUGUUGGGUUAGGUCAUCUCUUUUAUAAUUUUCAUCUUCUUUAAUAAAACCUCAGGUGUUGUGGAGUUCUUCAUCCUGUUCGAUCAAUACAGAAAAUCAUACAUCGUCUAUUUCUCAAUGACCCGACUCUCUGACAUAAUGGUAUGGAGGUUUUGUUACCACCUGUUCAGCAGAACACCCAAACAACCGAAAUAUAAUCAAAUUCAAAGUAGAAUGGAUACCCAAAUCAACCUCAAAUAUAAUCUAUCAGAACACCUCUAUAACACUCUUGCUGUAAUGUUACACUUUUCCGUUCAGCAAACUUUUCUAUAAACUUAUUAUGAUUAAUCAUACAAGUCCACUCAAUAAAUGACUUAUCUCCUUUAUUUUAGAGAAACAGGAGACCUAUCAAUCGGAUAUCUUUGCCGCGGUGGACGCCUUCUCCUCUUACGUAGCCCAACGUGUCACUGCCAUACUUCUUUCCUCGAGUUCCUGCAGCUCUCCACAUUGAGGCUGCAGCUCCAUCUGGGGCUGACAAACUGCAGCCUGCACAGUACUAGUAGUAGAUAAAGUGCAAUUUCCCAAACGCUUCCUCCCUCUUCCCCCGCCAACCUUACCAGCAUUUCUCUGGGAUAAACCCGACUGCCAGCUGCCACCACUUGAUCUAAUCGACCCUUCAAAUGUUUUAAGAUCCUCAGUCACCUUAUUUCUUGACAAGCAAGCAAUACCGGGGAGAACAUCCCUCUGCAAAUCCUUCUUUUGCCUCCCUCUCCUUGUUGGACCCCUUUGUAGCCGUUUUGACAAUGACUUCUUUUUUUGGGUUGUCUGACGCGACAUUGCAGCACUGAUCUAACUCGGUUUCCGCCAGAUUUAAUGUCAUGUACGCAAAGUAAUCCAUUGAGUCCAGUGAGGAGUCUUCAUUACAGGCAGAAGUCAACCUGACAAAUGGGCGGGUUGGGCGGUUAACGGGCGGGCUGUGACGGGUUAACGGGUUCAACGGGUUCAACUUGUUACAACCCGUUAAGCUAAUGGCUUAACAGGUUGAACCCCUUUGGUUCAUGGGUUAUCUGUUGGAACCUGCUAAGACCCGUUAAGGUCUUUUUUUUUAUUUUUUUUUUUUUAAUUAUUUCUUUUUCUUAAUAACUAAUCAACUACCUUUUUUUUUCUUUUUAAUAUUCUUUUCUAAUAAAAUCAAAUACCCAUAUUUUCUUCUCUUCUAAUAUUUCUUUUUAUUUUUACCCGUUGGUAAUGCUGCUUCAACAAUAUUACUUCUCCUCUAUGCAAUUAUAAGUUUAUAACAUUAAUAUCCAAUUGUAAAAUUGAUGUCAUUCGCCAAGCUAUAAUCAGACCAAUAUUUCUCAAACUUGAGGUUCAUGUCAUUCGCCAUUUGUCUCAUGAAUGCAUCUUUGUCUUUCAUGGCUUGUUGAAUGUUGUGCUGAAUCAUAAAUACCUUGGGGAAAAACAAGUUCGAAGUUGGAUACUUGGUUCCAGAAAAUAGGCAAGUGACAUCAUAAAAAUAUCCUAGGAACCUCGAGGUCUGCUCAACCUUGAUCCAUUCAUCAAAAGAAGAACAACACUUAAAAUCUGUGUCACAUAAUGCAAAGUUGAUCAAAGCACGGCGAUAGAAGAGUACACUAUCUAGCAUAAGAUAGGUGGAGUUCCAUCUAGUAGGCACGUCUUGUCGCAAAGCUCUCCUACUACCUCCCAUUCCAACUUGAUCAAUACAGCCCAAAAAUCUUUCCUUUCUUGCCAUUGAACCCUUGAUGUACUUGAGACACUCACGAAUCUUUAUCACUGACUGAUCAAUAGAUUUCAACCCAUCUUGAACAAUUAAGUUCAAGAUAUGUGCACAACAUCGAACAUGAAAAAAUUUCCCAUUUAACAAGAGUAGCCCUCUAAAAUUCAACUGAGUUCUCACUUCUCAACAAAGGAAUCAUUAGCAGAUGCAUUAUCCAAUGUAAUCAAAAACAGUUUCUUCUCAAGUUUUUAAGCACUUUUGUCAUGCAACCGAACUGUAAUAAGCAAGCAAAAUAAAUACUCUUUUAUUAUAAGUUACUGUUUCAUGGGUACUUCCAACUACAGAUAUAUUUUUUCAGAAAGUAUGUACCUGUUAAUGAGAAAUAGCAUUCUUCGAUAUAACAUCAAAAGUAACUCCAUUUUCUUGAAGCCUUUCUUGAAGAUCAGUUGGUCCAAAUACAAUCCCAGCUGGGAGAACUCCUCCCUUUGGAAGGUCGUCACGUUGGCUCAGAACAAUAAGAGCACAUUGAAGUAGAAUUAUCGGGGUCGUUAGGUAUCCAAUUUCAGGUCCCAUAACUCUUGUUACUAUUUCCAUAUCAGGUUUUGUGUUUCCCUGAGAAACAAGACUCCUGUCGCUGAAACCACGUCCAACAAACCACAUCUUAAAAGAAGCACUUCUCACCUCCUCAUCAGAUGGACCCUCCUUUCUGAACAAUCCAACACUGAAGAAUGAGGGAAACUUUAAAAGCAGCCACCUCCCAAAGGAAAAUAGACCCAAGAGCCCAAGAAAGAGUCCAAAAAUCAUGAUCCGAAUAAUGCCCAACAGAGACUUGGUGCCUAUCUUCACCCCAAAAUGAGCUGGCUUCACUGUUGACCAGAAGGCUUCUCUUUUCUUAAUAUGUUCAUCAGUCUCAUUCCUCCCUGGAAGACCACCAGGAUUUUCAGUCAAAGCACCAAGUGUUCUUCGUACAACAAUAGCAUCUGCUGAAGGUAGCUUCACAGCCCAAAGACCAAUCUUUUUCUGGUGUUCAAUAAUUGGUCCUUUAGAAGGAGAAGGACCAGGAAUCUACAAACAAAAACGUAAAUCAUGAUCAAUCAAUUGAACUCCCUGGCCAUUAAGAUACAUAUCAAUCUUUGUUCUCAACCCCCAAAAGUUACAUUUUUUAGUGUCUAUGCCGCAAACAUUUGAAGGAGAACUGCAAGGUAUAAUUCUAUAAACUAUGAAUCCCCUAUAUCAUUCAGCAAUAGAACUAAAAAUGCAUGAGUAAGCCAUUCUACAUGUGUCUUGGCUACCAAUAUUCUACUGUUAGCUUCCGAUAAAACUUGUAAACUUGUGUACAAAGACGUGCAGGGUAUCAUAUAGCAAAGGAUGUACAGUACAUAACUACCAAUAACCAAACCACUGAUUACGUCUGUAAGGAAUUUGAACAAAGAUACAACAAAGAACAAAGAAACACAAGCCUCAAUUGUCGUUCUUUACUAACUAACCAUAACUGCAUCUAAAGUUCUAAGCUGCCACUGGUAUAACACAAACAGAGCUACUUUAACAUUUCAUUUCUGCUUUCCCCUACAUCACUAUCCACAAAAACAGAACACAGCAGCAAAGUUUUCAACUUCAAACAACAAAACCAAUCAAGCAAUCAACAAAUCCAAAAAAGUAUGGUAAUCUAAUCAAACUCAUUACUUGCGGCCUCGGUUUUUUUGGCCUGGACCGCCGGAGCGCAUUGGUCACACCCAACACCACCGACUCAAACGUCCCAAAGUUCCCCGCAAUCCUCUUAUCACUCUCCAAGCUCAAAUAAGCCUCCACCCUAUUCGGUACCGCCGCCCCCUCCCACUGCCUCGAGUUAAACAUCACUCCAAGCUCCGCCGGAACAGAGUCAAACCCGCAUGCCGAAAUGACCAAACUACCCUUCUCCGCCGCAUUUUCAAAGUAACUCGCCUCCAUCCUCUCCAUGAACUCCGGCUCUCCNNNNNNNNNNNNNNNNNNNNNNNNNNNNNNNNNNNNNNNNNNNNNNNNNNNNNNNNNNNNNNNNNNNNNNNNNNNNNNNNNNNNNNNNNNNNNNNNNNNNNNNNNNNNNNNNNNNNNNNNNNNNNNNNNNNNNNNNNNNNNNNNNNNNNNNNNNNNNNNNNNNNNNNNNNNNNNNNNNNNNNNNNNNNNNNNNNNNNNNNNNNNNNNNNNNNNNNNNNNNNNNNNNNNNNNNNNNNNNNNNNNNNNNNNNNGGAGAUUCCCAAAUGAAUGGGGAAUCAUUCGGGGAAAGAUCGUGUUGGAUAUUAUAAGCCAAUUUGUUUCUAAUUUUUGGCAUAGAUCGUUUAGCCGGGGCUAGAGUUUCUUCUCUAUUAGUUCAUAGAAGCUAGGAGAAGAUGCAGAGUUGAGUUUGGGUUAGAGCUUUUCGGAUUUGAGAGGAAUCAAAGCCUAUAGAACUGUUAUGAAUUGAAAACUAACCUCUUCCCUUGAGCUAAUGUAAUCAUAAUGCGACAAUUAACUGAUUCAAAUAGUCAGUCUCUGUUUUCCGCGAAAGUCAUGUCUCUGUUUUAAACCCCAAAUCCCAAAUCAAAACUAAUGUAAUACAAACUCAAUCCAGCAGAGUAAACUGGAAAAUUUGUUUUAGUUAUUAUCUUAUUACAACAAAAGCCUUCAUUUUUUAUUCAAUCAGGUGUAUCAAGUCUGUGGCAGCUAUAGAAAUUAAACAGGCACCUCAUUGGUGUGGUUCUGGAUCAGGUCAUUCAAUUUCUGAGAGGCAUGAACAACUGCUGCGAUUACAUUACUUUCCAUUAAUCGGCGAUUCAAAUCAACGAGUUUCUGCUUCAAUUCUCCAAAGUCUCCUUUGAGAUGCUCAACUGCAUUUUGGAAGAGUGGUUUCAGAGACCGGUAAGACUUGCUCACGAACCAUACAAGGCAGAUGCACCAGAAGAAGAGUAAGAUCAUUCCGAAAGUUGAAAUCAGGACGAGCAGCUCUAAUAUCAGGGAUAGACUUCCAAGUAAGAGGGUGAUUUGGAUCAUCAGAUCUUCCAAAUCUGUGUUAUUGCCAUCGGCCAGAAUUGCCAUCACAAUCAAAGAGAGGAUGUAAAUGCAUGUCACAAUGAUGAAUACGUUCAUCAGCUGAGAGCCGUGGACCGUCGUGUAUGGAGACACAUUGGGAAACUUGAGUUGCAGGCAGAAUCCCAAGACGCCGAUCAGAGAUAUUAUGCAUGUAUGCAAUUUCACUAUGGAAUAUCUCGUAAGAACAGCCUCCCUCCUUGUGUUUGUGUUGGUGCUAUGACAGAGAAAAUUAACUUAGUUAGAACUAUAUUCUAUGUCCAUGUCAAUUAAAUUUGUAAAAACACCGUGGUGUGUGUUAAUUUGUUGAUGGAUACAAGAAGUUCGGAAGAAAAUGAUAAAAAAACAGGGGAUUCCUAGUCAAUCAUGCAGAGGAUAUUGGAUUACAUAAUCUUUGCAACCGAAUAGAGUUUAAUAUCUAAGGACCGGGUUAGUAUUAUUAUACCUUGAUCUGAAUCAUAUGAUUGUAGGAUGCGUGAGGUCAAAUUUUAAUAAAAGCAUUAAAGAACACUAGAAUCUAUAACUAUAAGAAAGAAAUAGAGAAGAGUUUUUAUUGAUUGUUCUGGGAGAAGUAUUGAGGCUCUUAUCCUGUGCAUGAAGUAAGUGAUGCAGUAUGAAGAUCGUGUUCUUUCUUUUAAAAAAAUAUAUAUAUCCUUNNNNNNNNNNNNNNNNNNNNUUUUGUUUCGUUUUUUUUUUUUUUUUUUUUGUAAUAAUCUUGAUGUGGGCUGGACUCACACCGACUAGAACCGAGAGAUUAUUGCGUGGCCUGGUACUUUGUUAAUGGGCCAAUUGAUACUGCCUGUUUAUGUCAAAUUGAGCCGGUCCACUCGCAAAACUCAACAAUAUUGCUUCCCGCUCUUUUCCGCGAAAUUCAUCAAAAAGCAGAAAUCUUUGCAACUUGGUCUAAUUAUGUACAGAAUUGCAAUCUGAAAAAGUGAAAACGAAAGCAUGAAAUAGAAAUUACAGUGUUACACUGGUAGCUCCUUGCUGAGGUUCUUGGUUUCAUCAUGCUCCGUCGAAUAGCGGCUCCUCUUAAUCAGAUCCAUCAAUUUCUCGUAAGCACGACCGAGUCCAGCAACUGAUCCCAUCAGCGGCCAUUUAGUGAGAUCAGUCUCACUUGGAAUUCACCCAAGGCACUUUUGCAUAGUGUUUUAGACAGUUGGUACUAAUCAAUUGCAGUGAUUAUAAGAUACAUGCUCCAGGAGGAGAAGGCGAACCAUCCGAAAGAAACCAUUAAGAAUAUAAACUAGUAAUUGAAGUUAUUACAGUAACUUGCUAAAUCAAAUGUCCGAAUGUAUCAUAUAUUUAUCACCAUAUUCUGAUAUUCAUCAAAUAUACGAGGUAGGUAGAAACUAAACAGGAGAUAGCUCAAUCAUCUGGUUCUGGUCUUGUGCUUUAUGCUCCAUCAUCUGGUUCUCGUCUUGUGUUUUAUGCUCUGUCGUGUGGUCACUCCUAAUCAACUCAGGCGAUGCAACAAUGCCGCUAUAUAACCUUGUACAGUAUUCCAUCAAGCUGUCAUUGAUCCAUUUCAGUUUCUCCUUCAAUUCCACAAAGGCUAGGCGAAGAAGAAGCACAACUGCAACUACAACGCUCACUGUAAGGAUGGUCCAUAGGAAGAACGGAACUGAUCCAUAAGAUAGAACAAUGAUGAGCAGUUCCAAAAUCAAGGCAAGAAUCCCAAAGAAGAUGCUAAUGUUGUUUGUGAAUGCACCAAAAUCUUUGAGAUCGGGAUCAGCUUUGAGUUUCUUGGCCGCGUACAUUAAUCCAAAGUAGAAGACUAAGACUACAUCAAGUAGUGUGAUGAGAUUUUCCAUCCCUGUUGUAUACUUCAGUCCAAAUAACAAGGCAAAGAAUGCGUUCAUUCCAUGGUGAAAGUCCCCUGAACUGCUCCGACUCGGUGGAGUAGCCUCCUCCCUUUUCCUGUUAUGAUUUGAUCAGGAGUUCAGGACACAAAAGAUUAGUCAAAAACCAUAAUAACAGAGCUCCACUGUUACAUUAAUAAAGCAACAUCUCACUGUGAUAACUGAUAAGAUACCAUAUAAAGGAAAAUCAGCAUUGAUAUUGGUGGAAACAUAUAUAUAUCAACCAAUUUAGUGUUGCCAAGUAUCAAGAAUCAGCAAUAUGAAAAAUUGAAUGCAACAGUAGGGCGUUCUCCGAGGAUUAAGGCCAACACCGACCACCGCAAUUCCAUUCCAGAGAACGGCCCAAUUCCCUCCUGCCGAGUCCACUCGCUCAGCCGCUCCAAUUCUUGGUAUAACAAUCUCCCACUCUAUCAUUCUGCUAAUCCAGGGCCACUGAGCAGAGACUAUUCUGGUGAACUUUGAGGUGAUUGAAGACGAGCAGUAAAGGAAGACAAAGGACGAUGCCGUGAUCAGGAGAACGUGAUUUAACAGGAUGAUACCGUGGAAGCGGACGGAGCGGUGGACCAGGUCGGCGGAGUAGAAUAGGGUGACGCGGAAGCCGGAGAAAAAGAGGACGACGUUGAAGCCGGAGAUGAAUAUCGGAGAAGAUGAAGAGGACGGGCCGAAACCCGAGAUGUAUACGACUCCUACGGAGACGUAUACGACUCCUCCGGAGAAGAGGACAGGGAGUCAGGGUCUCAGGGUCUCAGGGACGACGAGGACAAUGAAGCCUACAACAAAAAGAGGACGGUGUUGGUGUUGGUGUUGGUGGUGCCGUUUUUCUUGCAUGUGGUGGUGGACUGUUGGUGAUGUUGAUAAUGGUGGCGGUGCUGGGUUUAGUAGUGGUGGUGGUGUUGUUGCUGGUGGCGGCGGUGUUUGUGGUUGUGGUGGUGUUGGCCGUGAUGGUGUUGUUGUUUGUAGUGGUGGUUAAGGUGGUGAUUGUGGACUUGUGGUUGUGGUGGAGGUGGUGGUGGAGUUUGUGGGGGUGGUACUGGAGGUGAAAUGGCGGCGUAACGCGGUGUUUGUGGUGGUGGUGGAGGUGUUAUGUUGUUCUUUACGGCGGCGCCAGCGGUGGUACCUCAAAAAUACCCCAGGAAAAAAAAACAUAACAACAACAAAAAGAUUUUGUUUGAUCAAUGCAUAAAAACUAGAAGGGAAAUUAACAACAUCCUUUUCCAGAAGCGGAAGAUCAGCGGCAGAGCUCAUAGCGGCUUUUUGCAGUUCUAUUUCCUUCUUCUCUUCCACAAGUUUAGUGAUGAGCGUAAUGGAACACAGGCUGGAGACUGAAAACUCUAAACGAAAGAUUCUUUGGCACAGUUGCAGUUGCGUGAAAAUUGUUGACGUCGCAUGACUUCUAGAUAGAUACACAAGAUGUGAGGAUGUGUUGCGGCUGUUCAGCCCCUGAAUAUUUGUCAAAUGUUGAGGCUACGCCAAUAUCAGCAUCAAUUCUCAAAACAAUUAGACAAAUGUUGAGAGAGAGAUCAGCCGACCCUUCUCAACAUUUGAGCAACCAAGCCCUUCUCAACAUUUGCGAAACCAAGUCCCUUGGCUGAGAGUGACCCUUUGUAAUAAUUGUCCCCACCAUAUUCUUAGUCUAAAGUUCAAGAUAGGCUAACUAUAUUAUGACCAGACAAUAAAUGAAGUUUAUUGACAGUCGAAGCUUAUAUGUAUUUAUCUUUCUCUAACAAAAGAUUUUCUUGUGACUUGCUCAAUAGAUUCAAGCAACAAUAAGAAGAAAUAUUUGUCAAUUUCUCGGGUAUAAGUAAAGUGUAUAACACAUUGGACUAUUAGUUUUCUUCUAUUUUUUCUCGGCAUCAAAUUUUUUAUUUUUUUGGAUAAAUCAAACAAUGUGAUAUAUUUGUUUUUAAAAUUGAAGCUAUUGUGUUUGAUGAUUUAAACUAUAUAUAUAAAGUAUUAAUAUAAUCAUUAUUUAACAUACAAUGACAUAUGUAAAUUGUGACUAUUUAAAUUUUGACCUUGCUUGAUAAAAUUUCUGGCUACGCCACUGCCUAUAUUGGCUACGCCUCUGGCAACAUGUAUAUUUUGAGCGAUAUGGAUAUUAUAGAGAUUAGAGAGUAACAUAUGUGCAUGUUAUAGAUUACAACUAAUUAGAUUUAGUUUCUCCACCACCUGCGCAUAUGUUCAUUGACUGGUGAGUAGGGAUGACAAUGGGUAAGGUAGAGUUAGGGGAUCAAAAUACCAUACCCGUACCAUUUUUCAUUCCUCAUCCCCAUACCUGCCCCAUUUCCCGUAAUUAGAUAAUGAAGACUCCCCGUACCCGUCUUUUUUGGGGAUUACGUUCCCAUACCCACCCGAUCCCCGUUAACAAUUAUGUAAUAAUUAAUUUUUUAAAAAAUAAUUACAAAAUAUAGAAAUAUAAAAAUAAAAUCAAAUACAUAUAUAAAUAAGUUUCUUGAUUCAAUCCAACAAAAACGAAUACAAGUCUCGGUUAAAAAAGAAGUUUCUAUAAAUAUUUAUUAAGAGAAUCAUAGUAAAAAAAACAUAUUACAAAAUAUUUUACAUAAAUAUCUAUUUAUAAAUAAUAUAUAUAUUAAAAAUAAUAUUUCCAUUCUAAAUGGGUGGAGAUGGGGAUGAAUAUCAAAAUAUCAUACCCGCCCCGUACCCGAUUCAAAAAUCCGAAUACUGAGGAUCCCCAUAUCUGUCACCCGUUUAUCUCAGUAUAUCUCUCCCGUUAAGGUCGAAUACCCAUGAGUACCCUACUCACUGGGUAUUAUUGUCAUCCCUACUGGUGAGAGCAAAUUUGAAGCCAAUGUGAAUUAAAAAGGGUGCGGCUAUUUCCACCCCAGUAAAUGCUCAGUUCACCCCACGCUUUAUUUUUUACCUUCGACGUUCCAAUUCUGCCCUUAAAAUUUUGAGAAAAUCUGGUUUUUAUUUUAUUUCUUUUAUUUUCCUCAAUAUGAUAAAAUCUAAAAAUAUAUACACAUAUCUCAUCAAUAUAUUAUCAAUAUAUUUGACACAGACCUCCAUUCUUCUCAAACCACAUCAUAUAUAUGUUCUCCUCGAUCUCUUUCUUAAGUUCAUUCUUUACGAUUAUGAAUAUAUACAUAUAUAUACAUAUAUGUGUAUAUAUAUAUGUGUGUGUGUGUGUGAAAGACUACAUUUGAAACCAUAAAUAAAAUAAAAAUAAGAACGAACAAUCCCACCACACUGUAUAACUACUCUAUUGAAGAUUGAAGUGAUCCUCGAUCAAAUUUGAUUUGAAAAAUCGAUGUAGAAAAUUGUUUUUUAUUUUUUAAAAUUUUUUUUCCUGAUGUAAAGAUGUAGAGAAUUGUUGUUGUUUGGAUUUUAUAGAUUUUAGUUUAAUAUUAUAUUUUCACAAAAAUUAUUGAUUGUGGGGUUAGUAUUGAAAUAUUUAGUUUAAAAUUAAAAUGUGGGGUGAACAAAGUAUUUAGUGAGGUGGCAAUAGCCGCACCCAUUAAAAAUUGCAUAAUAAAUCUGGUGGUCAGACAUUUCCCAAGAUAUAUAUACAUGUUUAAAAACAUUAGAACUUUUGGGUCCUAAAACCUCAAUGAACAAGAAUUAUACAAAAUAAGAAAAUGGUUAUGUGUGGUUCCUUUUCCUCUGAUGUUAAGAGUAAAGACUUAAGCCCGAUGCGAGUGUGAGCAGGAGACUUGGGAGAGAUAAUUAGAAACCCUUCAUGUAAAAACAGCUUUAUUUAAUUAUCAUAUCUGGCCACUAUUGUGAAAUCUAAAAGAAAAAUAGAUUAUUCUAAAAAAAAAAUUGACUGUUGAAAAAGCAAAACAACAAUCGUGGAGGAUAGGGGAUUAAUAGAGUAUGAGUUAUAUUAUUAAGGACUCACCCAUUUCUGAAGGUAGUGCUAACAGAUUCAUUAUCGCUAAUGGUUUUUUCGAUUGUUAGUAUAUAUAAUAACAAAUUAUAUAAAAACAUUUCUAUUUUUCGAUCAUAGCAUACUUUCCACCACACCUUUUCAACAUUCUCCUUAUGUCAUUGCCCAACUACUUAAUCAACAGAUUUUUCUAUGUUCUACCAGAGAGCUCCUCUAGCUCACUCCCAUCCUCCAACAAUACAAUAUUUUUGGCAUUGCUAAGGGCAGAGAACCUUGCCCUCCUAUUUUUCUAUCAGUUUCAGCACACAUCAAUCAAUCCUGCAUAAAUGUACAAAAGUGGUUGAAGCUAGAGAUACCGUACCUGACGUCGCAUAUGGCUGACCGCCACCAUUUCUGAUGCUGUUCUUCGAUUCCAAGUGGAUUGCUUCAUGGGAUCUAUGCCUCAACUCAGUAGCGUCUUCAGCAUCCAUUUUUGCCGGUGUUUAGCUCUGAAAGAAGUGUCCGGCAAUUGAGAACGGACAACAAUCUUUCAUCCACAAGAGCUGAACCCGUCAACCGGAGGCUGAGUCAGAGCUAGUGUGGAAGAGUGGGCCAGUUGAUUGAUCUAAUCCAAACGCUGAGCUUUCCUCAGAUCUCGACCAACAUUGACUCCUCCGCCACGACGAUGGUUGCAUAUUUUCGUUGACUUCAGUUGCCCAUAUAUUUACUAGAUUGAGACGCUGGAUUUAGAUUCUAGAAUCUACUGCUAUUAGUCAAUACUUUAUGAAACUCGUUUUUUCCCUAGAUCGUUAUCGACUGGGCCUGGGCUGGACUCCUACCGACUAGACAUAAUUGCAUGGACUGGUAUUUUGUUAACGGGCCAAUCGACACGGCCCGUUUGUCAUAUUGAGCCCGUGUGGCCGGUCUAUUCGCAAAACUCAACAAUAGUGAUUUUCCCGCUCUUUGUGUAAGCCCCCCAAUACCCAAAAUUAAAAAGAAGAGGUCUUUGAAACUUGGUCUAAUUAUGUACAGAAUUACAAACUGAAAACGAAAGCAUGAAAUAGAAAUUACAGUGUUACACAGGUAGCUCCUUGCUGAGGUUCCUGGUUUCAUCAUGCGCUGUCGAAUAGCGGCUCCUCUUGAUCAGAACCUUCAAUUUCUCAUAAGCACGACCGAGUCCAGCAACUGAUCCCAUUAAGCGGCCAUUUAGUGAGAUCAGUUUCACUCGGAAUUCACCCAAAGCUAGAAUAAGAGCUGCAACUGCUCUUUUGCAUAGUGUUUUAGACAGUUGGUACGAACCAAUUGCAGUGAUCAUAAGAUACAUGCUCCAGAAGAAGAGUGUGAGCCAUCCGAAAGGCGGAAGCAAGAUGAGCAACUCUAAAAUAGAAGCAAGAGUUCCAAGCAAGACGCCAAUCUUAUUCAUGAAUUCACCAAAGUCUCUAUUACUCUGAUUGAUUUGGAGUAUCAUGACACUUAGUAAUCCGAAGUAAAGAGAUAUGUCGGUAAUAAAUAGUUUCAUCAGAAUAGUUCUGCGACAGUCUUUCACAAGUGCAGACGCAUUUGCGAACUCCAGUUGGAGGCAAAGCCCUAAAAUGGUGACGAGGGAGACUAUGCACUUGUGCAGUGCCAGAACAGAACUUCUCCAAAUUGCAAACUCCUCCAUUAUGUUACUGUGAUGAUCAUAAAUUCGUAAUUCAUGAAUCAUGAGAGUAUUAAUUGGAGUAUAAUGUCAUUGAAAUUAUACGUAUAUCAGUUUAUGAUGUUACCAAGAAAAGUAUUAGUAAAUAUUAGUGAUCCAUAAAUCGUUCAAACUAUAAAGAAAAAUUUUAAAACAAAAUAUAUAAUCAGUAGGGGAUACAGGGGUCCCCUGUCUUAUUUUCAUCAAUAUCAGUGACAUAUCUCUGAGUUCUUAAUCAACAAAUUACUCGAACACCCUGAAUAUUUGGAUUUAAGAAGAGCUCUCAAAAAUACAAAAUCUAUGCAUGAUGCUAACAAAUGAAUAUUCUAUUAACAAAUUAAGAGAACUGGUGCCAGAUGCCAUAGUUCAUGUCACAGAAUGUGGAAUCUUUGACGAAGUCCAUUUCUGAAGAAAAAAAAUAAGAGUAACAAGAUAUUUGAAGACGCUAGAGUUAGAAAUUUAGAGAGAUUCUGAACACUUUAAUACUUCUAUUUUAUCGAAAUUUUUUGUUAAUUGUUUAGUUCACUAAGGAGAUGGUGUGCGUAUCAAUUUACUUGAGUAGAAGAAAUUGUAUUGUUAAAACCAAUGGCCAGAAGGCACGUUACAUCAUAUAUCAGGCUUUAUACAAUCUGUCGAUAAUGACCUACAAGCACUAUGACCCAUACCCUCAUUGAAAAUAAGCUCGAGAAAAACUUGAAGCGUAGGAAACAAAACCAUAACACCUAAGUUCCAGACAAGAAUAAACUAGCUAGCUGCCUAAUUUCCAAACAUAAUGGUUUUGUUUUGUUUUUUUAUUUUUUUUAUAAAAUACUGACAAAGAUUAGGCGAUAUCAGCUCCUCUAUAACAGUCUGGUGGUUGAUAGAGCACCCACUCUACCCCAAAGGGGACCGCUACAACCGGGAAUCCACCGCCCGUCCCUUAUCAGAAUUUUUAUUUAAAAUAAUAAAAGAAAUUACAUGAAAAGAGGAAUGGGGGACUAGGCAACAUAGUGGUUUUGUUUUUCCAACAGAAGUUACUGAACAGAGUGGUAAUAUUUGAAGGAGAAUAUUUUAUGCUUCUGAAUUACAAGCUCUUUGAUCUGAUCCUGGGGAGAAAAAGAAGAACUAGCAAGAACUGUAUAUAUAUUGGCAAACUGCAGACUAGCAGCAAACAUGAUCCUUAGGACUAACAGAGCAACCAGGAAAAAGAAAAAACUAAGUAGAACUGUAUCUAGAGAGAAGUAACAAAUUCGAAUUAAGGAAGACCAAAACCAAAGCCAAAAGUAUAUAGUAGUGAGAGGAUAUACUAACAAUGAUAAACGUUGAGACUUGAGAGUUUAAGUGCCCUCCUCCGUUAAUUCCACAUACAGCUUUCUGGGAGCUCUUGCUCUCGGAGAAGACAAUAUGUAGUGGAUGGAGACUAGGACAAAAAAAAAAAAAAAAACCAGACGUCAGUUUGAUCUGAUAAAAAUAUAUUAGACGUCUUUUUCUGCUUUUGCGUUUUCGUUUUCGUCUAGUUGCAUCCGACAUUCACCAGACGAAAAUGUCGAAAAUGUCCAGACGAAUUGAAGAUUUCUGUUGAAUCGAAAUCAAGGAUCAUAGGAGAGGUGCGUAAUUUUGCGUAAUCUUCCGAGUCUUUGCAACUUGGAGAUGAUACUGGACGUCUUUUUCUGCAGUUCUUAAUUUGUUGAUAGCAGACGUCUUUCCAAUUUUUUAGUAGUAGAAUCAAGGAUGCUAAUCUGACCAGGAAAAAGGAAUCAAGGAAACUAAAAACGCGGAAUCCAUCAAAUCUUACGUCACCAAUUUUCAUACAUGUUAAACACUUAAACGUCACUGACUCUCUGCUAUGGCACAGAACACAUUUCGUCUUCUAACUCUUCAAUGAAUACAUUCCCUUCUGAGCACUGUGCAACCAGUGUAAAAUCAUUAGAUUAUUCUUUAUUAUGAUCAUUUAUUUUUGCAUGAUGUCAAAAGCGGGGUUUACUACAUCACCGCAUGCAUAUGGGCCAUGCUGGUCCGGCCCACUUGAAUAUUGAUGCCGCUCCUUCUAAUACCCAAAUAUUUAGUCUCUAUUUUCGGCUCCAAAUUUCCGAAUGUCAAAUCCCCUAUCGAAAAUUACCGUCUUCGCUUCAGCUAGUAUAAUUAAUCAUAACGAUAAUGCGACAGUUAACUGAAUCGGAUAGUAUUGCCGAAAGUGAUGUAUCUCAGUCUCUGUUUUAAACCCCAAACAAAUCCCAAAUCAAAAUUAAUGUAUUAGAAACUCAACAGCUUAAUUAAAGUUGAAAUCUCUAGUAGCUAGCUACCCUCUUUGGAUACACUUUUCUAACUGUAUCAUUAAAGUACAGAAAAUGACAUCUUUUUAUAUUUUCAGUAUUUUUUACUUUAUGGGUACUCAUAAAGAAAGAAAAAUAAUAAUGAAAAAAAAAUUAAUAUAGGAGAGAGAAUAAACAUAAAUACAAAAUUUAAAAUAAAAUUGAAAAAUUGAGAUACCGAAAUUCAAAACGUGGCUUUUAGUUAGUAGAGACAGCAAUAGAGAAUACCUUUUUAAAAUUCACGGAUACACUAUAAGACUUUUAAAUAAGCAAUAGGUAUGUCAUACCAUAUGGUAUGAUAAACAAACCUCUAAAGCAAAAGAUAAAAAAAAAAAAUAAUGUAUCCUAUGAACCCUUUUCUAGUAGUAUUUCCUUAGGAUUUCCUUAUUAAAAGAGAUGCUUUCAAUGCCGAAUAAGAUGUACGUAUCAAGAGUAGGUGGCAGCUAUAGAGAUUCAACAGGUACCUUCACUGGUGUGGUUCUGAUUCUGGGCUUCAUGCUCUGUCAUCCGCCCCUCAUCCCUGGUGAUCAGGUCCUUCAAUUUUUGAGAGGCACGAGCGACUGCUGCGAUUGCAUUACUGUCCAUUAAUCGGCGAUUCAAAUCAACCAGCUUCCGUUUCAAUUCUCCAACGGAACGAACAAGAUGUUCAACUGCGUUUUGGAAGAGUGUUUUCAGAGACUGUUAAGAGUUACUGACGAACCAUAAAAGGCAGAUGCACCAUAAGAAGAGUAGGAUCAUUCCGAAAGGUGAAAGCAGAAUAAGCAACUCCAAAUUCAGUGAUAGACUUCCAAGAAAGAGGCUAAGUUUGUUUAUCGGAUCUUCCAAAUCUGCGUUAUCGCGUCGACUAGCUUGGAUUGUCAUUACAAUCAAAGAGAGGAUGUAAAUGCAUAUCACAAUAAUGAAUACGUUCAUCAGCUGAGAGCCGUAGAUCGUCGCAUAUGGAGACACAUUGGGGAACUUGAGUUGCAAGCAGAAUCCUAAGACGCCGAUGAGAGAAAUUAUGCAUGUAUGCAAUUUCACUACAGAGUAUUCUUUAGUUUGAACCAACCCUUGUGAAGGUGAAGAGAUAACCACAGUGGUGUCUGCCAUUCCACAGCUUUUCAUAGCAUAAUUAAACUUUGGCCUUAAUUUAAACUUCGAGAAUGUAAACUGAAAGUUUGGCGAAAUGGCGACGUACGCGAUGAGAGAACAAAGCUAUACAUGACAAAGCGCACUGUUUGCCAAAGGAGGGACUGCCCUGUAUUGGUAUGUGCUUCCUAUAUUUCUACUGGCAUCUUGCCAAAAGAGGAACUGCCCUGUAAUAAAGGGACUGCCCUGUAUUGAAUUGUUUUUGUUUUUCUACUGGGAUUCCAGAUUCCUUCUUCUUCUUUUUUUUCACCACUAACCUCCACAUUGAACCAGAAAUCGUUUCUGAGACCCACAUAGACUAAAUAUUUAUACUAUUUUGCAUCUGUG
This 22253-nucleotide long non-coding RNA is filed under the name Fragaria vesca (wild strawberry). Its description in RNAcentral is "long non-coding RNA (FVES_LNC003326)". The record is from RNAcentral. Lineage: Eukaryota; Viridiplantae; Streptophyta; Magnoliopsida; Rosales; Rosaceae.